Molecule: long non-coding RNA, 796 nt
Filed under: Zea mays
Lineage: Eukaryota; Viridiplantae; Streptophyta; Magnoliopsida; Poales; Poaceae
Description: long non-coding RNA (ZMAY_LNC000117)
Source: RNAcentral
UCAACUCCAUAAAGUAAUGCAGCCUUGCAGCAGGUUGCAGUUUAUAGCAAGCUAGCAUCUUGAUUCUUGACAUCUCCCAAUCUCCUCUAUGGCCAUCCCUGCUCGCUGUCUUUUUCCCCAAGCGGGCUGAGUCAUCCCUAUGGCUCUUGUGGCCUCUACGGAUUCCAACACUGAAGAUAAAUUAUUAGAUCUUCAUGUGGUUGAAAGAUGAUUUUUUUAUAUUGCCAUAAACCCUAUAUUAAAAAAAGUGUUUUGAGAAUUGUUAGGGAUGCUCCUGGAAAGCCUAAAAACCUAUGAGUAUGCCAAUCUUGUGUGUCAUCCGGCAUUGAAGAUGAACCCAUAUAUCGUGAAUGUCGCAUCCUUCGAUUUUGUGGUGAAAAAGGCAGCAUGAGGAUUUUUCUACAGAUAAGGGCUUAUUCGGUUAGCUCUCAAUCUAUAUAGAUUGAGUGAGAUAGGAUGAGUUUGAAUCCCAAAUAAGUUAAACUUUUUAAUUUUUUCCAAUCACAUCUAAUCCAUGUCUAUUGAGAAUAACCAAACAAGACCUAACAAUUUUGCAUAGCUGUACACAUGAUAAAGAGACGAAAAAUCCGUGCAUUUCCGCGCUAGUAUGUCUAGAUAUAUUUAUAAUAAAAGUGAUCUGCACAAUUUCUCCAUGUGAUCACAGGAAACGAAACAAUUCUGUAGACCCUCAUGAAGAAACCUCUCCCUAUGGCAAUCGAAAAAAGACACGAUCGUACCGUGAGCAGAUUCUGAUCUAAAAGCAAAGCCUUGACGGGUCGCGGUCGACAAGUGUCGG